UAAGGAAAGGGCAGGGGAUCAGGGAGAAAGCAGGAGGAGUCGAGUAGCACAUAGCAGAACUGAGCUUGGCCCAGUAGCAGAAAUGUGAACCUGAAGUCAUAUAAUUCUCCUAAGCACUCUGUCAGUGUUGUUUACGCUUGUGGGAGUUCAAGUACGUGAGUAGUAUCAAUUCUGUACAAAGGACUAGAAUACAUUUGCUAUAACAGUUAAAGUAGAAAGGGAAGUGUAGCUUGCCCAACAAGUGCUAAAAGUACUCUGACAGCGAUCAGCCUGGGAGAUGUGGAUGAUUUGGAUGAAAACUGAUCUGGCUAUUGGUUGGGACGUAUCUAUUGGGACACCAAUAAACCAGAAUGCUACAUAACAGUGAAUGCGGCCAAACACACAAGAGAGACAAUGCAAUUUUAAUAUCAGAAUACAACUUUAUUUUGUUUAACAGAUGUCUGCUAUAGUAUUUAUCCUACCACCUGCAAGAUUAGCCACCAACGUAAAAUCUGAGAAGACACAAAAGGAUGGUGCCACUUUACAGUUUCAUGAAAUCAGAAAUGAUACCUGAACUGCAGAGAUAGCAUAUCCUCUGAGGGGUGGAGUCAACUGAAAAAUGACAGAAAUGACAGCAGUCAGUGAAAGAAAUCUGGGACGUCUACACUUCAGGCAUUCAGUAAGAAAGAGGAAACAAACAGCACAGGUGAUUUAAGACUCGGUGUUCACAUAAGAUAUGAAGAAUUGGUGAUUUUGCCUUUGGUGCUAUUAAACCCUUGAAUGUUGUUCCUGGAUUGAGAGUUUGUAGACACCACAUCAAAAUACUGGUUUAUGUUGGGUGAAGGCUCAGUGAGAAGACCUUCCUGUGCCACAGAGAAGGACAGGACAUUGACAGCUUUGAAUUUCUUGGACAUUGUCAGAUCACUUAUGCCAAGCCUGAGGAAAGACUGUCAAGAAGAUAUUUAUUUUUUGCAUGCUUAAGUAAAGGAAGAAACCAAGACACAAACUACUCUACAGCCAGAAGAGCUGCUCUUCAGGCUGAAGACUGGGAAGGUACCAGUGGUGAAACUGAAGCAGAGAUAGUGAUUGGCAACUAA
Struthio camelus australis is the source of this 1076-nucleotide long non-coding RNA. NCBI's taxonomy places the organism in Eukaryota, Metazoa, Chordata, Aves, Struthioniformes, Struthionidae. The record is from Ensembl.